CAGCAGCCACGGUGAACACGUAGGUGGCAAGCGUUGUCCGGAAUUAUUGGGCGUAAAGGGCUCGCAGGCGGUUUCUUAAGUCUGAUGUGAAAGCCCCCGGCUCAACCGGGGAGGGUCAUUGGAAACUGGGAAACUUGAGUGCAGAAGAGGAGAGUGGAAUUCCACGUGUAGCGGUGAAAUGCGUAGAGAUGUGGAGGAACACCAGUGGCGAAAGCACUCUGCUGGGCCGACACUGACACUGAGAGACGAAAGCUAGGGGAGCAAGUGGGAUUAGAUACCCCGGUAGUCCCUGUCUCUUAUA
Molecule: ribosomal RNA, 301 nt
Filed under: uncultured bacterium
Lineage: Bacteria
Description: partial 16S ribosomal RNA
Rfam family: Bacterial small subunit ribosomal RNA
Source: RNAcentral